RNAcentral lists this ribosomal RNA (497 nucleotides) under uncultured bacterium. RNAcentral describes it as "partial 16S ribosomal RNA". It matches the Rfam family "Bacterial small subunit ribosomal RNA", at positions 28 to 507 of the family's 1533-position model. The record is from RNAcentral.
GAUGAACGCUGGCGGCGUGCCUAAUACAUGCAAGUCGAGCGAACGGACGAGACUCUUGCUUCUCUGAUGUUAGCGGCGGACGGGUGAGUAACACGUGGAUAACCUACCUAUAAGACUGGUAUAACUUCGGGAAACCGGCUCUAAUACCGUAUAAUAUUUUGAACCGCAUGGUUCAAAAGUGAAAGACGGUCUUGCUGUCACUUAUAGAUGGAUCUGGGCUGCAUUAGCUAGUUGGUAAGUUAACGGCCUACCAAGGCAACGAUGCAUAGACGAACUGAGAGAGGGAUAGGCCACCCGAGAGGUGGAACGCGGACAAGAGGACUAAGAGACGCAGCAGUAUGGUAUGUUACGCAAUGGGCGAGAACAUGACAGAGCAACGCCGCGUGAGAGAUGAAGACCUUCGGAGCGUGAAAAUCUGUUAUUAGGGAAGAACAGAUGUGUAAGGAAAUGUGGAGAGCGUGACGGUAACUAAUAAGAAAGCAACGGCUAACUACGUG